AAGUCAUAUGCUUGUCUUAAAGAUUAAGCCAUGCAUGUCUAAGUAUAAAUAGUAUACAGUGAAACUGCGAAUGGCUCAUUAAAACAGUUAUAGUUUAUUUGAUAGUGCACAUUACAUGGAUAACCGUGGUAAUUCUAGAGCUAAUACAUGCGUACAUACCUGAAUAUGUAAGGUAGCAUUUAUUAGAUUUAACCAGCAUUAUGGUGAAUCAUAGUAACUUGGCGGACCGCGCUCGUCGUGGUAAAUCAUUCAAGUUUCUGCCCUAUCAGCUUUCGAUGGUAGUGUAUUGGACUACCAUGGCAGUCACGGGUAACGGAGAAUUAGGGUUCGAUUCCGGAGAGGGAGCCUGAGAAACGGCUACCACAUCUAAGGAAGGCAGCAGGCGCGUAAAUUACCCAAUCCCAAUUCGGGGAGGUAGUGACAAGAAAUAACGACUCGAGUGGUUUUCCACUUCGGGAUUGCAAUGAGAUAAUUCUAAAAACUUAAACGAUUACCAAUUGGAGGGCAAGUCUGGUGCCAGCAGCCGCGGUAAUUCCAGCUCCAAUAGCGUAUACUUAAGUUGUUGCAGUUAAAAAGCUCGUAGUUGAAAUUCGGAUUAUCUCUAGUAUGGCUCACGGUCGUGCUAGAGGUGAUUCUCCGUCUACAAACUUCUUUGCUCCUUAAAAGGUGCAGUUUAGCGAGUAGACAUUUUACCUUGAAAAAAUUAGAGUGUUCCAGGCAGGUUCUCGCCGGAAUACAUUAGCAUGGAAUAAUGGAAAAGGACUCUAUCCUUUGUUGGUUUCAGGACAAGAGUAAUGAUUAAUAGGGACAGAUGGGGGCAUUAGUAUUUAAUUGUCAGAGGUGAAAUUCUUGGAUUUAUUAAAGACUAACUUAUGCGAAAGCAUUUGCCAAGGAUGUUUUCAUUAAUCAAGAACGAAAGUUAGGGGAUCAAAGACGAUCAGAUACCGUCGUAGUCUUAACUAUAAACUAUACCGACUCGAGAUCGGAAGGGUCAUAAUUCUUUCGGCAUCGUAAGAGAAAUCAAAGUCUUUGGGUUCUGGGGGGAGUAUGGUCGCAAGGCUGAAACUUAAAGGAAUUGACGGAAGGGCACCACCAGGAGUGGAGCCUGCGGCUUAAUUUGACUCAACACGGGGAAACUUACCAGGUCAAAACAUGGAUGGGAUUGACAGAUUGAAAGCUCUUUCUUGAUUCUAUGGGUGGUGGUGCAUGGCCGUUCUUAGUUGGUGGAGUGAUUUGUCUGGUUAAUUCCGAUAACGAACGAGACCUUAACCUGCUAAAUAGUCCGGUUCUGAAUAAGGGCCGCGACUUCUUAGAGGGACUAUGUAUGUAAAUGCAUGGAAGUUUAAGGCAAUAACAGGUCUGUGAUGCCCCUAGAUGUCCUGGGCCGCACGCGCGCUACACUGACACGUUCAGCGAGCUAAUAACCUGCCUCGAAAGAGUGUGGGAAAUCUUGUUAGGACGUGUCGUGCUGGGGAUAGAUCUUUGCAAUUAUAGAUCUUGAACGAGGAAUUCCUUGUAAGCACCGGUCAUCAGCCUGUGCUGAAUACGUCCCUGCCCUUUGUACACACCGCCCGUCGCUCCUACCGAUUUCGAGUGAUGUGGUGAACUAUCUGGACUGCUUGCGGGCUCGAACCGUGAGCGGGAAGUUUCGUAAACCUUAUCACUUAGAGGAAGGAGAAGUCGUAACAAGGUUUCCGUAGGUGAACCUGCGGAAGGAUCAUUCACACAUAUGAUCACACAUACCUAAGAUUAGUGCGCUCUAGUCAAUUCGUUGGCUAGAGUUCAUAUACACCUAUUUAUCAUAAAUUGAAAAAAAAUAGAAAAUUUUCAACGAUGGAUAUCUGGGUUCCCAUAACGAUGAAGAACGCAGCGAAAUGCGAUACGCAAUGCGAAUAGCAGAUACGCGAGACAUUAGAUUUUCGAACGCAGUUGGCGCUAGUUUACUAGCAUGUUUGUUUCAGUGUGUACGAGUUUUCCAUCGCAAAACUGAAUGUGAUUGAGACUUUCGGGUUUCUCUCAUGAAAUAAGAGAGUGUAUGGGUCAUCAUACCAAAAAUGAAGUAGUCACAUAAUGAUGUGAUCUCAUUUCUGGGGGGACUCAAACAAAGCACUACCUUAAUCUCUUUAUUUGCACCUGAAAUCAAGCAAGAACACCCGCUGAACUUAAGCAUAUCAGUAAGCGGAGGAAAAGAAACUAACAAGGAUUGCCUGAGUAGUGGCGAAUGAAACGGCAACAGCUCAAAGUGUAAAUCUAUAGCAUAGAGUUAUAGAAUUGUAAUCUAAAGGCUUUUUAGGGAAGUCAUGGUUCUAGCAUAAGUUCCUUGAAAAGGGAUGCCAAAGAGGGUAAAAGCCCCGUAUUUGGCUAGGACCGGACGUACCGAAGGGCUCCAAGAGUCGGGUUGUUUGGGACUGCAGCCCUAAAUGGGAGAUAAACUUCUUCUAAAGCUAAAUAUUUAUGGGAAACCGAUAGCAAACAAGUACUACGAAGGAAAGAUGAAAAGAACUUUGAAAAGAGGGUUAAAAGACUUGAAAUCGUUGAAAAGAAAAGCGGUAGAAGAGAAAUGAUUUCGUUUAGUAGUAUGUGGUGUUGUAGUUGCCUUCUGCGGGGAUGGUACUUCAUAGGGCCUACCUGUAGACUGGUGGCGCAUAGCUACUUUUACUGAGCGAAGUGCAAAAUGAGGUCGGAUUCACGGAAAGAGUUCUGCGGAGGACACUAGUCUAGAUACUGGUAGCUGCGGUUCAGAACGUGAGACCGGCCUG
Molecule: ribosomal RNA, 2759 nt
Filed under: Paramecium calkinsi
Lineage: Eukaryota; Ciliophora; Oligohymenophorea; Peniculida; Parameciidae
Description: SSU rRNA
Rfam family: Eukaryotic small subunit ribosomal RNA (bases 1-1723)
Source: RNAcentral